GGGUAAUAAAGUUAAAACUGUUUAAAUUUUACAUUAAACUGAAAUAAAUGAGUAAUUUACAGGUUGACAAGUCGACAGGUUGACAAUUUUAAAAACGUUAUGGUUGGAAUAAGUGGUUGACAGGUUGACAAGUCGACAGGUUGACAAUUUUAAAAAUGUUAUGGUUGAAAUAAGUGGUUGACAGGUUGACAAGUCGACAGGUUGACAGAUUGAUAAGUUGAUAAUUUAAUAUAAUAACAAGUAAGUUAUGGUUGACAAGUCGACAGGUUGAAAAGUUGACAAAAUGACAGGUUGACAAGUUGACAAAAUGACAGAUUGACAACUUCAGAGCAUUUAUAAAGUGUAAAAUAGUAUUAUUAGUGACUGGUAGACAGAUCGACAAGUCGACAAGUUGACAAUUUCAUUUUGAGAAAUGUAAAAUGUACAAAUGGUAAACAGAUAGACAGCGAACAGAUAUAAAAGUUACAAGUCAAUACUUGUAAAAAAGAUUAAAAACUGAAGUUAAUUUUAUUUUACUUAAUUGAUGAUGUACUUUUAUUUACUUGUUUAAUUGUAAAAUUAAACCCUUCAACCUGUCUACCUGUCGACCUUAACAUUUGUCAACCUGUCAACUUGUCGACCUUAACAUUUGUCAACCUGUCAACCUGUCGACCUUAACACUGAACAAACUGUCAACCUGUCGACCUGUCGACCUUAACACUUGUCAACCUGUCAACUUUUAAACUUGUCGACCUUUAAAGUGUCAACCUGUCGACCUGUCAAUUUAUGUUCAUAUAAACCGAUUUACUUCUAAAGUUAAACCGAUUUAUUACUCUGUUCUUCCGAAGGAACUACAGUACCGUUUAUCCUACUUGACCC
RNAcentral lists this long non-coding RNA (858 nucleotides) under Mytilus galloprovincialis (Mediterranean mussel). Lineage: Eukaryota; Metazoa; Mollusca; Bivalvia; Mytilida; Mytilidae. The record is from RNAcentral.